This 253-nucleotide ribosomal RNA is filed under the name uncultured bacterium. Its description in RNAcentral is "partial 16S ribosomal RNA". It matches the Rfam family "Bacterial small subunit ribosomal RNA", at positions 524 to 776 of the family's 1533-position model. The record is from RNAcentral.
GACAGAGGGUGCAAACGUUGCUCGGAAUUAUUGGGCGUAAAGAGCUCGUAGGCGGUUUGUCGCGUCUGCCGUGAAAGUCCGGGGCUCAACUCCGGAUCUGCGGUGGGUACGGGCAGACUAGAGUGAUGUAGGGGAGACUGGAAUUCCUGGUGUGGCGGUGAAAUGCGCAGAUAUCAGGAGGAACACCGGUGGCGAAGGCGGGUCUCUGGGCCGAUACUGACGCUGAGGAGCGAAAGCGUGGGGAGCGAACAGG